Cyprinus carpio (common carp) is the source of this 1806-nucleotide long non-coding RNA. The record is from Ensembl. NCBI's taxonomy places the organism in Eukaryota, Metazoa, Chordata, Actinopteri, Cypriniformes, Cyprinidae.
AUGAAGUUUGCUGCUUUAGUCUGCUUGGUUGUUUUCUUCGCUGCAGAUGGAGAGUCCAUGCCAGUCGAGCAGGACAGCCAAAGAGAGGACCUGCUUACCCAGUGUUUAGUUCACAUCCUUUCAAAGGCACUGUAUAAGACCGAUGAUACCCCACUGCAUCCAGAAUGCAAAAACAUCCUUACACCAGGAUCAGGUCAUUCAUCAGUUGUGAAAAAGGAGAAAGACACCCUAGAACCAUUUCAAGAGGAACUUAAAAAGCCAAGUGGAGAGUCUAAAGUCGAGGAGGAACUCAUUGAGGAUCUUCUCAAAGCUAACAAACGGGAGGAGCUGGAUGACGAACGUAGCCAGGAAGAGUUCCCAAGUUUUUUUAAAAGAAGAAUCAAAGACAGGCGUGAGGAAAUGGAUGACGAACGUAGCCAGGAAGAGUUUCCAAGUUUUAUGAAACGAAGAAUCCACGAAAAACGUGAUGAACUGGAUGAUGAACGGAGCCAGGAAGAAUUCCCAAGUUUCUAUAAAAGAGGCAACAAGCAUAAAAGGGAAGAUCCCGACGAUGAGAGAAGCCAAGAGGAAUUUCCACAGAAAAGACAUGUUUCUGUCCUUUACAAACGUGAUAAUCCCGAUGAGGAGCGCAGCCAGGAGGAAUUCCCUCUAUAUGAAUAUAAAAGGAGUCGUCUUCUGACCAGCAGAGAAAAACGUGAAGAGCCUGACUAUGACAGAAGCCAAGAAUUUUUCCCAAGUUACACCCACAAAAGAAACUAUGGGGAAGGAGAAGAAGAGGAUGAGGAGAGUAAGGAAAGAGAGAAGCGGAUCUGGAAGCCAUCACAUAGAUACCACCACAAGAAAAAGCACCACAAACGCAGUGAGAAUGAGGAUUUUGAAGAACCAGAUUAUGACAGAAGUCAAGAAGACUUCCCAAGCUACAGCCAAAAAAGGAGCCAUGGGGAUGGCAGGCACUACAAACCAAAUGAAGACCUGCUGAACAGGCAUAUUAAAGAGGACUUAAACUCUCGGGAAGAGAGGUCUGAAGAAUCAGAAGAGGUAGACGAGGAUACCGCAAAGCGAUACUGGAAACCCACCCAUAGAUACAACCAUAAGAAGCACCACAAACGGGACUCAUAUGAAGAGGAUUAUGAGGAAAGACCCCUGGAAAAAAGGUAUGAGGACUCAGAGGAAAGUGAGGAAUUGGAUAAAAGGAUCUGGAAGCCUACACACAGAUAUCACCAUAAGAAGCUUCAUCACAAGCGUGGCGACUCCACAGAGCUCAAGGAUGAAGAUGAACCCAUCUCAGAGAAGACUCACAGUCUCCAUGACUCAACAGGCAAUGCCCUCAAGCACCAUUCACCUGAAGAGGAAGAAGAAGAGACUGUUCAUGAGCUUAAUGAAAAGAGGCGUCCCUUAACCAGCCAAGAGGAGGAAGAUGAGCUAAAGAAAGGACACCAGAGUUCGGCAGAGAAGCAGGACAGGGAGGCUGCGUUGAGGUACCUAACAAAAAAGAAAAACGAGUUACAGGAACAUCUGCUUAACAAAGGUGACGUCUAUGAGAAGCGUUCCCCAUGGAUUUACAGAGGAUACUACCAUCCAGCCUGGUACAAGAGAGGCCAUAAGGUGGAUGAAAGUACUGAUCAGCACCCCUACCAUAAACUAGAGGACUUUGCUGAAACUCUCCGGUACAAAAGAGGCCUGCUUACUCAGGGGGGGUCACUCGAGGAGGAAAAGGGUAUCCCCCAACAGAAGCUUCUCACACCAGAGGAGUUAAAAGAACUUGAGAAACUGGCCUCUGUGGAUCAGAUGAAAGAGACAACUUAA